This 405-nucleotide ribosomal RNA is filed under the name uncultured prokaryote. RNAcentral describes it as "bacterial SSU rRNA". It matches the Rfam family "Bacterial small subunit ribosomal RNA", at positions 355 to 776 of the family's 1533-position model. RNAcentral also lists the same sequence under 1 other name. The record is from RNAcentral.
UGGGGAAUAUUGCACAAUGGGGGAAACCCUGAUGCAGCAACGCCGCGUGAACGAUGAAGGCCUUCGGGUCGUAAAGUUCUGUCCUUGGGGAAGAAUACAUGACGGUACCCUUGGAGGAAGCCCCGGCUAACUACGUGCCAGCAGCCGCGGUAAUACGUAGGGGGCGAGCGUUAUCCGGAAUUAUUGGGCGUAAAGAGUACGUAGGCGGUUCUUUAAGCGCAGGGUUUAAGGCAGUGGCUCAACCACUGUUCGCCCUGUGAACUGGAGGACUUGAGUAUCGGAGAGGAAAGCGGAAUUCCUAGUGUAGCGGUGAAAUGCGUAGAUAUUAGGAGGAACACCAGUGGCGAAGGCGGCUUUCUGGACGAAUACUGACGCUGAGGUACGAAAGCGUGGGGAGCAAACAGG